AACAAGGCGUACCUGCGGACCUGCGGAGGAUCAUUACUGAGUCACGUGCUCAAACAACCCUUCUGUGGACCUGAAAUAAAACCGUUGCCUCGGCGGGCGGUCCCCCCCAAACCAACCCCACGUGGUGGGUUAGGGGAGACCAGACAGUCCGGUACGCUUAAGGCGUCCGGCGCCAGCCGCUGGCCCCAAACAAUUAAACUCUAGUAAUCUUUACCUUCUGAGUUUCAAUAUUUAAAAAUA
RNAcentral lists this unclassified non-coding RNA (240 nucleotides) under soil metagenome. RNAcentral's name for it is "partial contains 5.8S ribosomal RNA, internal transcribed spacer 2, and large subunit ribosomal RNA". The record is from RNAcentral.